GACUGUUAGCACACCUUUGUCACGCCUGUAAGUUUAUGUUUGGUUUUGGUCAGGUUAUGUUUAGUUUUUUGACAUUUGGUUCUGUCUUUUCAAUUCCUGGUUUUUGUUACCAUAGCUAGUCAUUAGUUUACCCUAGUCACGCCCCGAUCAUCAGCCUCUCACACCUGUUUCUCAUUACCACUGCUACUAUUUAAGGAUUUUACUUUCUGUCCAUCAGUCUGGGAUCUUCAUACUCGCACGCACCCUACCCAUGCUGUUCCAACCUUCACGCCCUCGUCCACAGUUCCAUGCCGUGUGAGGGGAGCAGCGAGCAGCAGUGAUGGCCGCUUUCGGGAAUCAUUUUGGUGAUUUAACCCCCAAUUCCAACCCUUGUUGCUGAGGGCCAAGCAGGAAGAUCUGGGGAAAGGUGGAGACACCAGGGUGCCCCCUCUGCCGGAGGAGAGGAACCUUGGAGCACAUUCUAAACUGUUGUCCAAAAGCCCUGUGUGAAGGGCGGUACCGCUGGCGACAUGACCAGGUCCUGAAAGCCAUAGCUGAUAUCAUCUGCAGGGGAGUCAGUCACAGCAAGAGCCUCCGCCCAGUGAAGAGCACCGCUUUCAUCAGAGCUGGGGAGAAGUCAACACCGGCUGCCCGGAACACCUCUUCUGGUCUGUUGGCAACAGCACGCGACUGGGAGCUGUCAGUUGAUCUGUGAAAGCAGUUGAAGUUCCCUGACGUGGUUGCCAAAACAACACUAAGGCCAGAUAUUGUGCUCACCUCAGUGGCCUCCAAGCAGGUACUCCUCCUGGAGCUCACAGUGCCUUGGGAGGACCGUAUGGAGGAGGCCAAUGAGAGGAAGAGCGCAAAGUACUCUCAGCUUGUGGACGAGUGUCGGAGCAAUGGGUGGCGAGCGAUGUUCCGGCCCGUUGAAGUGGGAUGUCGAGGGUUUGUGGGCAAAUCUCUCUGCAGGGCCUACAGAAUGCUUGGCAUCACUGGGGCCAGCCAGCAAAGGGCCAUGAAGUUAGCCACAGAUGCAGCAGAAGUGGCAUCAAGGUGGCUGUGGAUCAGGAGGGGAGAGGCGUGGCAUGUAGGGCAGUAGCGCUACCUGGACACAGGCUGGGGCCUGAUCAACCUUGGUUGGGUCGCCUAGGGGAGGGGGUCUGAUUGUUGAAAGACCCGAAACCCCCUGUGAUCCUAGGUUACAUCACUGAGGAUGUGUCUAGUUGCACCGUUGGUGUAUUUAAAAACUUCCCGACAGUGCUCUUAUUUAGUUAAAUUUCCUGUUUGUUCUGCGGAGCACUGUUGUCUCUUCACCUGCUGUUGAUUGGCAGCCGGUCCACACCUGUUGCCAAUCAGCAUAUGUCUAUUUAUGUUUUCACUCGAGCACUUCUCAGUGCUCGAAGAUCACACUAUGUUUGGAACCUUUUUUUUUGCAAGACUGCUUCAUUUUUCUGUUACAUGAGAUUAAACUCGUCACACCUUC
Molecule: long non-coding RNA, 1462 nt
Organism: Nerophis ophidion (straightnose pipefish)
Lineage: Eukaryota; Metazoa; Chordata; Actinopteri; Syngnathiformes; Syngnathidae
Exons: 3
Source: RefSeq, a predicted model, not a curated record